GAUGAACGCUGGCGGCGUGCCUAAUACAUGCAAGUCGAGCGGACCAAAGAGAGCUUGCUCUCUGAGGUUAGCGGCGGACGGGUGAGUAACACGUGGGUAACCUGCCUGUAAGACGGGGAUAACUUCGGGAAACCGAAGCUAAUACCGGAUGAUAAAGAGAAACGCCUGUUUCUCUUUUGAAAGUCGGCCUUGUGCUGACGCUUACAGAUGGGCCCGCGGCGCAUUAGCUAGUUGGUGAGGUAACGGCUCACCAAGGCGACGAUGCGUAGCCGACCUGAGAGGGUGAUCGGCCACACUGGGACUGAGACACGGCCCAGACUCCUACGGGAGGCAGCAGUAGGGAAUCUUCGGCAAUGGACGAAAGCCUGACCGAGCAACGCCGCGUGAGCGAUGAAGGCCUUCGGGUCGUAAAGCUCUGUUGUCAGAGAAGAACAAGUACCGGAGUAACUGCCGGUACCUUGACGGUACCUGACCAGAAAGCCACGGCUAACUACGUGCCAGCCGCCGCCGUAA
This 513-nucleotide ribosomal RNA is filed under the name uncultured bacterium. Its description in RNAcentral is "partial 16S ribosomal RNA". It matches the Rfam family "Bacterial small subunit ribosomal RNA", at positions 28 to 523 of the family's 1533-position model. The record is from RNAcentral.